RNAcentral lists this unclassified non-coding RNA (395 nucleotides) under soil metagenome. RNAcentral's name for it is "partial contains 5.8S ribosomal RNA, internal transcribed spacer 2, and large subunit ribosomal RNA". The stretch from base 1 to 121 matches the Rfam family "5.8S ribosomal RNA", at positions 35 to 154 of the family's 154-position model. The record is from RNAcentral.
GAUGAAGAACGUAGCGAACGUGCGAAACGUAAUGUGAAUUGCAGAAUUCAGUGAAUCAUCGAAUCUUUGAACGCAUCUUGCGCUCCUUGGUAUUCCGAGGAGCAUGCCUGUUUGAGUGUCGUGAAUACUCUCAACUUCAACCCUUUUAUCGGAAAGGGAGGAAGGUUGGACUUGGGUGUUUGUUGAAGUGCGAGCUUCGACUCAUCCUAAAUGCAUUAGCGAUCUGCCUCGAUCACACACAAUGUGAUAAUUAAAACUAAAGCAUUGUUUAAUGAUCAAGUCGAGACUGCUUCUAACUGUCGCAAGACAAUAACGUGCAUACAUUUGUGCAUGUCAUUUGACCUCAAAUCAGGUAGGACUACCCGCUGAACUUAAGCAUAUCAAUAAGCGGAGGA